Molecule: non-coding RNA, 413 nt
Organism: Cinara cedri
Lineage: Eukaryota; Metazoa; Arthropoda; Insecta; Hemiptera; Aphididae
Source: the annotation of a GenBank genome assembly
CAAAUUUGGUAUUUUCACAAGAUACACAUUCAAUGUUGUGAAAAAUUUAAGUUUUUCACAAUAUCGUCUUUAUCACUACACUUAAAAAUUCUAAAUAUUAGAAUUUGAAUUUAUGAUUAAUUUAACUAUACGAAGGGGGUAAGUACUGCGAAUGUUUAGAAAUUACUGUGUUUAUUAUUAUAAAUAUUUAAGAAAAAUAUCUUAAUGACCACCACUGGUAGGAAUUAACCGUUUCUAAAAUUCACAAACCAAAAUAAUUAUGUAUUUUUGAUAUUAAUUUUAAAGUAACUUUUGGUAAAUAUUAAUUUUUCUGUACUUAAAGAUUAGUCCUAUAAGUUAUAACAUUAUAUUUAUAAUUUAACUAAGUGCUGAUGUGUCAGCAACUUUUGUAAGUGGGGAGUAGGGAAAAUAGG